RNAcentral lists this ribosomal RNA (375 nucleotides) under uncultured organism. RNAcentral describes it as "partial 16S ribosomal RNA". It matches the Rfam family "Bacterial small subunit ribosomal RNA", at positions 526 to 896 of the family's 1533-position model. The record is from RNAcentral.
GUAGGGGGGCAAGCGUUGUCCGGGAAUUAUUGGGGCGUAAAGAGCACGUAGGCGGUUUGCCAAGUCAGAUGUGAAAUCCCGCAGCUUUAACUGCGGAACUGCAUUUGAUACUGGCAGGCUAGAGUACAGGAGAGGGAAGCGGAAUUCCUAGUGUAGCGGUGAAAUGCGCAGAUAUUAGGAAGAACACCGGUGGCGAAGGCGGCUUCCUGGACUGUUACUGACGCUGAGGUGCGAAAGCUAGGGGAGCAAACAGGAUUAGAUACCCUGGUAGUCCUAGCCGUAAACGAUGGGCACUAGGUGUAGGGAGUAUCAACUCCCCCUGUGCCGCAGCUAACGCAUUAAGUGCCCCGCCUGGGGAGUACGGUCGCAAGACUA